Molecule: long non-coding RNA, 1903 nt
Organism: Herpailurus yagouaroundi (jaguarundi)
Lineage: Eukaryota; Metazoa; Chordata; Mammalia; Carnivora; Felidae
Exons: 2
Source: RefSeq, a predicted model, not a curated record
CUUAAUAUGUAAAUUGUGAUUUUUUUCAGAUAUAAAGAUUCAUACCAUGAAAUUUGUACCAUGAAAAAAUUUAGAAAUGAUUCUGUUUUGAGGCAUUCAAAUUCUUUAGAAUUUUAGAAUCUUUCAAAAGAUAUUUCAGACCCAGCUUUUUUACUUUUUUAAUCAUGCUCUCCUCAUGCUUUUGAUUUUCAAGUUCUCAUAAAAAAUUGCAUAGAUCAUCAGAUUAAUGGCCAUAGACUUCUCAGAACAAUGCACAAAUAUGAUUUUGGGGAGAAGUUGUUAAAAAAAAUUACAAUAUAUAUCUUGGUAUUUUUACUGAUUUCCUCUUUAAGGUAAAAAUAUUUCCCAGUAAAAGUCCAUGGCUUUAUAGCAGAUGUUAUAUUCAAGACAUUAAUUUUUAUUAUGGGGGUUAUAUUUUAAAAAGUGAAAUAUUGAUGGAAAAUAUGAACUGCUUAACAUAUAUAUAUAUGUUGCAGUUGCAUAAGAAAUAUUUUAUCAAUGAUUCCCCCUCAUCCACACAAAGUAGGAAUAAAUCGUUGACUAAAUACAUAUGCUAAAUGAAGUCUAGAGGAAAAUACCGUGAGGUUUGAGAAUGUACUCAAGGAGAAGCAGGUACAUAUUUCCUGAAACCACGAUAGAUACAGAGGCUUUUGAAUUAAAUUUAAUUGAAUAUUAACAAUUUGAAUAUAUAACCUAUUAAGAAAUCAUCUAUUUGAUGCUAAUUGUUUAGUUUGUGGAAUCUUCUGGCCUUCACUUAUUUUCCCUCUCACUACUAGAAUUUUUAUCAGUACCUUAAUCAAAGGGGGAACAAGGGCGAGAAAAUGCUAUAAUUUUAAUGUUUUUGGAGUCAAAAUUGUCUUUUAGCCUACAUUUUACAGAGUUCAGCUUGCUGCCAUUAGCAUGAGUUUACAUGAACAGUACCUCACUGAAACAAUGAUUUCCUUGGGCAAUCAGAUCUAGGUUUCUUGUGUGCCUUCUUUUUCCUUUUAGAUUGGAUAAAUGAGAAUUAACAGUAUUAUAGACAUGGCAUUUCUUCCUGGUAAGCUAUAAUCACUAUAAAGUGACUAUAUAAUACAGAUUUUUGAGUAUUAUUUGCACUGAAACUUUAAAAAAUUACCAUCUUAACAUUUCUUCAGAUAAAAUGUAUUUAUAGUGGUUGUAUCAUAGGGGAUAUCAAAUUGUAGAAUUGCCAUGUAUCAGUGGCUGUAACAAAGUAUGGUAGAUUAAAUACUAUUUAAUGCCAUUCUGGAGGUGAGUAAUCUGUGCAGGAGAGGUAGUUCUAAGCCAAGUGAUUAUUCAACAGCCUGGAUCGUAUCUAUCCUACUGCUCCCGUUAGGGAAUUAGCCUCAUUGGCAUGGUUGAAACUGUCAGUGCCAUGUGCACAUCCCAAAGGGACAGGAGAGGAAAUUAAGGAAAAACAGCAUCAUGUGCAUUGGUGAGAACUUUUGUGGACACAGCUAGCAGAGUGGGAGACUAGGGAAUGGCUCUGGCUGGCUGGCUCCCUUCUAGUAAUAUGGAGGAAGGGAGAACUUUGGAAGACAUAUUAAUAACCUAAUGUAGUCCAUUGUCUUGGCUUAAUGUUAUAAAAUACCCUGAAGUGUGGUGCAAGAAGAUAGAUCCUUCCCUUCCUCCUCACUUCAAAUAUUUGUUGACUACCUAUUGUGUACCAGACAGAAAAAUGAAAGUUUGAAGUGAAUAUAAGUGGAGAUCUAUUAUUAUGCCAAAGCUGUGUCCAUUUAGAAAAUUGUAUAUACUUUUAUAUACUUAACAUUAAUUGUUCUGAGUAGUGUCAUUUGGGGCCAUAUUUAAGUUUCUCCAGACUAUGACUACACAUGUUCAGAUUUUGUCUAGAAUGAUCCUCCUUUUAAAAACCUGACCUGUUCAGUGCAUUCAAAGCUCAAUG